UCCAGACUCCUACGGGAGGCAGCAGUGAGGAAUAUUGGUCAAUGGGCGGGAGCCUGAACCAGCCAAGCCGCGUGAGGGAAGAAGGUACAGCGUAUCGUAAACCUCUUUUGUCAGGGAACAAAGGCGGGGACUAGUCCCCGGAUGAGGGUACCUGAAGAAAAAGCAUCGGCUAACUCCGUGCCAGCAGCCGCGGUAAUACGGAGGAUGCGAGCGUUAUCCGGAUUUACUGGGUGUAAAGGGCGUGUAGCCGGGUUGACAAGUCAGAUGUGAAAUCCUGCGGCUUAACCGCAGAACUGCAUUUGAAACUGUUGAUCUUGAGUACUGGAGAGGCAGACGGAAUUCCUAGUGUAGCGGUGAAAUGCGUAGAUAUUAGGAGGAACACCAGUGGCGAAGGCGGUCUGCUGGACAGCAACUGACGGUGAGGCGCGAAAGCGUGGGGAGCAAACAGGAUUAGAUACCCUAGUA
This 465-nucleotide ribosomal RNA is filed under the name uncultured bacterium. Its description in RNAcentral is "bacterial SSU rRNA". It matches the Rfam family "Bacterial small subunit ribosomal RNA", at positions 330 to 792 of the family's 1533-position model. The record is from RNAcentral.